This 3281-nucleotide ribosomal RNA is filed under the name Triticum aestivum (bread wheat). RNAcentral's name for it is "partial small subunit ribosomal RNA". The record is from RNAcentral. Lineage: Eukaryota; Viridiplantae; Streptophyta; Magnoliopsida; Poales; Poaceae.
UUUCUGUGUCUGCAGCCCCGGGGUGGGAGGUCGGAGUCUAGGUCUAGGGGGGGAGGCGGAAAGCUAAUAGAAAAGCAGAGGAGGAUUUGGUUGUGGUUGUGGUGUAGCUAGCUGUCGCUCCUUCCUCUUCGUUGGGGUGGGGGCGGGGGCCGACGGCGGCGGCGUCGGCGGCUGCCAGGCCACCGGGUGGUAGAGGAGGCGCCGGUGGUGGUGGUAGUUGGUCGGUACAAGCCGCGAUCGUUAGGUAAACCCGUCAGCAGGCGGUCGGGAAAGCCCGUCUGGAGUUGGUUGGGGAAGCCCUGGGUUGUCCCGAAACCGGUCGGGUCGUGGUGGUGGUUGUUAGGGAAGCGCGGGUUUGGGAAGCCGUCGGGCUGGGGGCGUAAGCCCCGCGGUUGUCCCUGGUGGAGCGGGAAGCCGCGAUGGAGGUGGAAACCGGUCGGUAGGCGAGGCCGGAAACCGCGGUGCAGGUGACCGCGGAAACCGGUCGUCAGACGGGGCCGGAAACCGCGAUGCAGGUGACCGCGGAAGCCGGUCGUUAGGUGGGGACGCAAACCGAGAUGUAGGUGACCGCGGAAGCCGGUCGUUGGGCGCAAACCACGAUGUAGCUGGCCGCGGAAACCGGUCGGUAGGUGUGGACGUAAACCGUGGGGCAGGAGGAGAGGCAAACCCUCGAGGUGCGGUCGAAAACCAUGUAGCGGUCGGGGGCGCAAACCGCGGUGUAGGAGAUUGUUGAAACCGCCACCUAGAAAUAAGCCUGUUUUCGGUUCGAAACCACCCAAACCUAGUAGAGGAUCGGUCAGAUCAGGUAAACCAUCGUGUAAAGUCGUUUGUGUCGGUUGUAAACCGUUGUCGUGAAAACCGUGGUGUUGAUGCGGCCGGAAACCAUGGUGUUGUUGAGGUCGUAAACCGAGGUGUUGCUGAGGUCGUAAACCGAGUUGUAGUUGUAGGAAUAAACCACCACGAAGGUCGUGGGGUCGUAAACCAAGCUGCGGGAAACCAAGGUGGUGUUGAGGACCAAAACCUAGAAGUCGACGUUGACCAUCGUCGGAGAAGCCUUGUUGAAGUGGGAAACCUCGUGUUUGAAGAGGUAAACCGAGCGUUUGUCGACGUGGUCGUAAGCCCGUUUGAUGCAAACCUUCAGUUAGACCUCCUUGGUCUUAUGUCGGAAUACAUGUUUGUGGACUACGACUGUGACGACGUUCACCAAGAGUCGGACGACGUUUUGAACUAAGGUAUAGUCGGUACGGACGUAUGUUUCUCUUCUCAGUACUUCUUAACUCCACCCUUCUAAUGGUCGCACCCCUGUUUCCACCUGGUUUGAGAAGACGUUGAGGUCGUCACUUGUUGAAGAAUAGAGGUGUCGGUUCAAAGGUUGGUUUAGUUGGUCGUGGUCACUUAGGUAAAUGAUUGGGGAGUGGGAGUGGAAAAAGCUCACGAAAACGAUGAUGAGGCUUGGGCAAAAGUAGCAGGUGUUGAUGAUGGAGGAGCAAACCUGUUUGUUCACCAAGAUGGAAGGGUCGUUUGUGAAGUAGAAGAGAUAAACCUUUAUUAAGGUGAUGAAGUGAUAAGUUGUUGGGUUUAGGAAAGUUACGACCCAGUAGGUGAUCAUUAUCGUGAGUUAGUAGACCCGACAAAUGCAGAAGGGGAUGUUACCCCGUCGUCGGUAAACCGGUGAGUAAAUUGGUCGUUAGUUCGUGAGGUCGAAAGAGGUGGUCAUACAAGUUAUGUAGAUUGUAGCCUUAGUGACCUCCACCUCCCUACAAACCGUUGUGCAGAAGUGGAAAAGUUUGUAGUAGUAAAGUUGUUAGAUGGGGACAAGUUGGAUGUUUGAGCAAGAGUAAGGUUGGAGUCUGAGUUGGUCGAAACUGUCCACCUAAGAGACCACAAAGGUUGGGCUACUUAUACCGAGGUAAGCCUGUCGUUUGAUGAUCGGUCAGGUUAUACCAUUACGUCGGCUGAGAACAAAGUUUAGGGAAACCCUGGGAAGGUCGUUACGGAGUCUACAGGUAACCCUUACCACCUAGGAGUGGAAGAUAGGUUAUACCCUAUAGUUCAAACGGCCAACGACUCUUCGGGGAAGGCUCGUCUUGUAAUAGUUACCACCAAGGAUCCGUAAACAGUGUCUCCUCCUAUUUCGACGACGGUGCUUUUAUAUUACGUUGUAGACUACCGUUCCAAGGUAAGAAACGACUACUACUUCUUAGGGGACAUUGUGGUUUUCGCCUACGGAAAAAGUAGGGAUCUCUCUUGGGUUCUUCAGACUAUUAGGCAGGUUGUCUGGUCACCGGAAGUGCAUCAAACCAACCGGUUGUUAGUUAAGGUUCCCUAAGUUGACUAUUACUGUUUGUAUUUCUACGAAAACAACCCUCCCUCGUGUUAUUCCGACGGUACUGUGGUUGAGCCAGACCAUGUCACCCCUUACCAUAGGUGUAACGUAGUUCGCUCGGACCCCGACACCGAGCCGUACACUUACCACGAUGACAACUCUUCUACCACGGAUCCGAGAGGGUCCGUCUAAUGAAGUACCUCGGGUCAGAUCUCCUCGAACGACGGUUUCUUGCACGACUCGGUCCGAUGACAUCAGUCCAACAUCUGAAGUAACAACCCGCACUUCCAAUACCGUCGUAGUUUAAGAACCCUCUUUGACUACACUCCCCGGAACUAGACCUCAGCUAACACCUUAAGUUAUUGGCACUUCACUAACACAUGUUCCUGCUAUCGUUCUUCGGGGGUCAACCGCUCCCGGACUUGUUUCGACGAAACCACUGGGAGGACUUGUAGUUCACGUACUUAUUCUUCUGCCCACUCGUCAUGUGCGUUCCCGGUUCCAACCUGUUCAAGUUCCUCUACAACCACUUCUUCCGACUCCUCGUCCCUCACCUCAAAUAGAGCAAACUGCCACGGUUCCCGCUCACCUUCAAGUCCCACUUCGUGAAGUCGAGGAUGCCAAAACCACUUCGGCUUCGGCUGCUGGACCGGCUAAGGAACAUCGAAACAGCUAACAAAAGAAAACCUACUUGCCACCUGUGAGCUAAGGUACAUCGAGACCAGCUACAUCGACCAGACCCUCUUAUAAGCAACACUACGAAAAGAAGAGACUUACGACGAUACUCAAGGAAGGGUACAAGAAGACAUGUAUAGGAAAAAGAACGUCUUACGUGUUCUUAAUGUAAGACCGUGGUUAGAUCGUGCACGCACCUAACCUAUUACUUGACUGUAGACAUGUUUAGACCAGCUACUUAUUAGAACAAUGGCAGGACCUACCUUACGCAGGAAAAGAA